GCCUGGGUGGCUCAGUCGGUUAAGCACCUGACUUGGGCUUGGGUUAUGAUCUCACAGUUCGUGGGUUCGAGCCCCACGUCGGGCU
Molecule: transfer RNA, 85 nt
Filed under: Felis catus (domestic cat)
Lineage: Eukaryota; Metazoa; Chordata; Mammalia; Carnivora; Felidae
Rfam family: tRNA
About the family: Transfer RNA (tRNA) molecules are approximately 80 nucleotides in length. Their secondary structure includes four short double-helical elements and three loops (D, anti-codon, and T loops).
Source: Rfam by way of RNAcentral